RNAcentral lists this ribosomal RNA (443 nucleotides) under uncultured Clostridia bacterium. RNAcentral describes it as "bacterial SSU rRNA". It matches the Rfam family "Bacterial small subunit ribosomal RNA", at positions 338 to 795 of the family's 1533-position model. The record is from RNAcentral. Lineage: Bacteria; Bacillati; Bacillota; Clostridia.
CCUACGGGCGGCUGCAGUGGGGAAUUUUCCGCAAUGGACGAAAGUCUGACGGAGCAACGCCGCGUGGGUGAAGAAGGCCUUCGGGUUGUAAAGCCCUGUCUUAUGGGAAGAAGAAAGUGACGGUACCAUAGGAGGAAGCCACGGCUAACUACGUGCCAGCAGCCGCGGUAAUACGUAGGUGGCGAGCGUUGUCCGGAAUUACUGGGCGUAAAGGGCGCGUAGGCGGUUAAUUAAGUCAGGUGUGAAAACUGUGGGCUCAACCCAGAGACUGCAUCUGAUACUGGAUAACUUGAGUGCAGGAGAGGGCAGUGGAAUUCCUAGUGUAGCGGUGAAAUGCGUAGAUAUUAGGAGGAACACCAGUGGCGAAGGCGGCUGACUGGACUGUAACUGACGCUGAGGCGCGAAAGCGUGGGGAGCGAACAGGCUUAGAUACCCUGGUAGUC